Long non-coding RNA from Asterias rubens (European starfish), 1328 nucleotides. RefSeq lists it as uncharacterized. The transcript has 4 exons. Lineage: Eukaryota; Metazoa; Echinodermata; Asteroidea; Forcipulatida; Asteriidae. The record is from RefSeq and is a predicted model, not a curated record.
UAACUGAACUUUUAUAUCACUCACAUUGCAAAUCAUUUGCACGAAAUGCUCAAUGGACUGGGUUAAGUUUACAAAACGUCUGCCUAUUUCUCACACAAAAAAUUCCCGUCUGUGGAUGUGAAGUUCGUCAAUAAGUUGGCAUUGUGACGAAAGUGGCACUCCCAUUCACCUCGUAGUCUACUUCGGACGUUCAUUGAGGGUGGCUACACACUUCAUGCAGUGAACAAACUUGAGAUUGCAUCAUUCGAUUAGCUUCCCGACGUUACCCAGGUCGCCAAGUCAAACAGUAGUGAACAAAAGGGAGCGAUCCAUUGGCCUUCUCGUGUGAUUUGUGGGAGAGAGCGGAAAGAUCAAAGAUCACUGACCCAGAUAGAGACAAACAUCGUUUCUAUUAUUCCCGACGGACACAAAGUUCACUGUAGUCUUCAGCAAAGUGCGGGAAUUUCAACUGAUCAUGCGGAUAGAAUCGUGCUUAUUUGCCUUAAUCAUUGGUGCAAUACCUUUGAUUUUUGCAUCACAUGACACACUGAGACUUGGAUGCCAGGGUGCCACAGAAUCAUCAAAGGAAACAGAACAACUGGAAAUAUUUUUUUUGGUGGUUUCCAUCGCUAUUAGCGCUAUUUGUGACCCAGUUUCAUUGCCGUUAGGUAUUCUGGGUUUCUUCAUAUCAUUUCUGGCGUCGAUGUAUAAGUGUUCUGACCAUUGUCACACCAUUACAUGGACAUGUCGUGGUUACUGUCAACUGUUUUUAAGCUGUACUUCGAUUGUACAUGCUGUUAUCGAGAUAAUCAUGGCAUGUUGUAAAGUUGUUUAGGUAUCAUCGAUAAGCUCCCUAAUGGUUUGCUGUAGAAAUAACUAUUGGUGUUCACUUUUUAGAUCUCCAUAAGGUGUCAACAAUAAUUAUGAUCCGUGUCCCAUGAUUAAGUCAAAAUAAACCAACAACUCUUAUCAGAGCCGACAACAACCUUCUUCCGGGAAAAUAGUAAUGUAACAUAAUGAUGUAAACCUCAAAAUCUUGACAAUCCGAACCCCUGGAAUCUUGGUGUAGCAGAAAGGUAACAGUUAUGAUCCUCUAGAGACAUUAACCUCUCCUGCAGCAUGCAUGUUCAAUGAUGUUAUCCGAUAAGUUUGUAAAAUACCCACAAUUGAGUAACAUUUUGUUUGUACUUUGUGUAUGGAGCUUGUUUCAUGUUUAGAAUGGAAUAGACAUACACUACAAAUCUUGGUAAUGUAUUUCUAUAUGCCUUCAUGCUAAUGGCAGUGGACACUAUCGGUAAUUACUCAAAAUAUUUAUUAUCAUAAAACCUUACUUGAUGACGAGUAAUGGG